This 138-nucleotide transfer RNA is filed under the name Dendrobium crepidatum. Its description in RNAcentral is "partial tRNA-His". The record is from RNAcentral. Lineage: Eukaryota; Viridiplantae; Streptophyta; Magnoliopsida; Asparagales; Orchidaceae.
AUGUCCAAUAUCUCGAUCUUAAUCUGAAGUAUAAUGAUGAAUGGAAAAAAGAGAAAAUCCUUUAGCUAGAUAAGGGAAGGGGCGGAUGUAGCCAAGUGGAUCAAGGCAGUGGAUUUGUUAAUCCACCCAUGCGGCGAG